Molecule: ribosomal RNA, 494 nt
Filed under: uncultured bacterium
Lineage: Bacteria
Description: partial 16S ribosomal RNA
Rfam family: Bacterial small subunit ribosomal RNA
Source: RNAcentral
GACGAACGCUGGCGGCGUGCUUAACACAUGCAAGUCGAACGGAAAGGCCUGCUUUCCCUUGUGGAUUGCGGGUACUCGAGUGGCGAACGGGUGAGUAACACGUGAGUGAUCUGCCCCCAACUUGGGUAUAAGCCUGGGAAACUGGGUCUAAUUCCCGAUAGGACUGCAGGGUGGUGCCUGUGGUGGAAAACGAUUUUCUAGUGGUUGGGGAUGAGCUCGCGGCCUAUCAGCUUGUUGGUGGGGUAAUGGCCUACCAAGGCGGCGACGGGUAGCCGGCCUGAGAGGGGGGACGGCCACAUUGGGACUGAGAUACGGCCCAGACUCCUACGGGAGGCAGCAGUGGGGAAGAUUGCACAAUGGGCGGAAGCCUGAUGCAGCGACGCCGCGUGGGGGAUGACGGCCUUCGGGUUGUAAACUCCUUUCGACCGCGAGGAAGCCACCUGGUUGGAAGGGUGGUGACGGUAGUGGUAGAAGAAGCACCGGCUAACUACGUG